CAGUAAAUAGUUUAUUUAAAAUAUUAAUUUUGGAUAUUAAAGAUGUUUUUCUUUACUGA
RNAcentral lists this transfer RNA (59 nucleotides) under Stenocranus matsumurai. Its description in RNAcentral is "tRNA-Pro". The record is from RNAcentral. Lineage: Eukaryota; Metazoa; Arthropoda; Insecta; Hemiptera; Delphacidae.